CAGUCCCCAACUUGGUGAGCAGAUCCACCCCAUCCAUGGCCUGGACUUCCGACCCCCCAGGUGCCCUCCCACCAGUGCUCCUGGAUUAUACAACACACACCACCUGGUUUCUGAGGUGGCCCCAGCGCCUGGAGUCUCAAACUGCUCAAGGCCGUGAGAAGGCCACCGUGGAACAGUGACAAUGAGUCAGAGGAAAAGAGCGCCCCUCUCAUCUCGCCCGUGACACUCAGAUCCAGUGUAGAAAUCACCCCUCGGCCAGCCUGGUUUGCACCGGACGCCUCGGUGUCCUGGUUCCUCACACCCUCUCCUGGAGGCCCCCCGGCGGCUGGCUGCCCUGCUGGGCGAGCGCGCAGAAAGAAGCAGGUGCAGAUGCUCUAAGGCCAGGAGUGAGGUUAGUCCUGGUACCUCUCCUUCCAAACCUGACUCACAGUCCUCCUCUUCCAGGCAGCCCUGACUCCGCGCAAACCUGAGCCUUCCUUUCCCUGACCCCCUCGGCUGGCAAGAAGGGGCUCCACCCACCUGUCUGUCAUGCUCUCUAGUGUUCUCCUGGACGUCCCUGCCCAGGUGCCGUAGGCCGACCUUGUCCUUGAGGAAGGAGGGCGGGGAGCCCGUGAAGGUGGCUGACACCUGCCUCCAAGGCCCCGUUCCCUGAGGGCAGAGUGCUACGGCAGGACGCACACUCAGCAGACAGCCCGCCGACGCUGUGGGCUCAGAGUCGCGAGGUGGAGAGGAGAUGGGCCAGCGACCACAGUGUGAAGACAACAGGAAGCGCGUGAGCAUCUCUCAGGAGGCCUCGGGAGGGAGGGAGGGGCCUUUCAGAUUGAUUGAUGGCCCAUUUUACCCUCUGGUCAAACUAGCGUGGUGGAGAAGACCCAAGGCUGGCACUCAGAACCCCGAGAAUCUUCUGCCACUGCCUUGCUGUGUGCCUUAGGGCAAGUUGCUUACCCUCUCUGAGCUCAUCAGUGAACGGAGACAGGGGACCUAGAGGGCUGGCAAGUGUAACCCUUCUUCCCAGGGAGGGGGAGUCCUUUCCAGGGGGAUGUGGGCAGCCCCAGAAGGAAACUUGUCCCUUCGACUUUAGUGCGUGUCCUGAGGAAUGCAUGUCUGAAGGUGGGGACCCGUGGGUGGAGGUGGGGAGGGAUCGCACCCAGCCCAGCAUGGGUGCAACGGCACCUGAGGAUUUGGAGGGAGAAGCUGGGGGGUGGACCGGCCAGAGCAGAGGCCUCGUGUCAGCCCUGCUUGGUGGCAGGCUGAAUCGCUGCUUAGUGGGUGGGGCUGGCAGUCAGCAUCGACUCAAGUCACCUACCAGUUACUGUUUGCUGUGGGUAGAGUCCUACUGUUCACUAUUUAGCAAGCUGUAAAUAAAAAUGGUAAUAUCUUCAUCAUUGACCCCUUACUGUGUCGGGCAGCACGCCGAUCGCUGAAUGUGGGCUCUCCCACUCACCCUUUAUGGUAACCCAAGGAGGCAGUAUUGACAUUAGGGUCAGUCCAUAGACUGAAGACAACGGGGCACAGAGAGGUUAAGUAACUUGCCUGAAGUCACACAGCUAAGUGGCGGAGUGGAAUUUGAACCCAGGCCUACCAGAGCUGUAGUUCUGGCUUUAGUAGGGCAACACUGGUUUUUAAUGAUAAUAGUGAACAGCCUGGAGGACAUGGGGCCUCUGCCCUUCCUGACCUGCUCCAAGGACUUCUCAGGGGACCGCUUGUCCUCUAUGUGUCCUGCAGCUCAGACGGUCAGAACUACCCUCCAUCGCCCUGAGACUUCUCCCGUGGCCUGGCCGGGGGAUGCUGCCACCCUGCCCUCCACCGGCACCCCGCCGAAUGAGAGGCCUGCCCGGGUCUUUGGUUACAAAAAGACUUUUUAACUUUA
Mirounga angustirostris (Northern elephant seal) is the source of this 1870-nucleotide long non-coding RNA. RefSeq lists it as uncharacterized. The record is from RefSeq and is a predicted model, not a curated record. The transcript has 3 exons. Lineage: Eukaryota; Metazoa; Chordata; Mammalia; Carnivora; Phocidae.